AGAGAGGUUGAAGGAGGCUCCUCCUCCAGAGGGGGCUGAGAUCUUACCCAGGGUGACAUCUUCAUGAUAAAACCAGUACAGGAUUGGGGAGGAGCCUCUCAGGGCCUCACAGUGAAGCUCCAGCUGGUCCCCCACCACAGCCUGGGCCCUGGGAGCCCUGAAGGUGAGGAUGGGACGAGACACUGGAACUGAGGGAGGAAAAACGUUAUGUAUCAGCUGCUUCUGCUAAAAUAUAUUCCUUCAUGCUAAAGACAUUUCAAAUGGAAGAAUGUUUUUCUCAGUUUUUAAUGCCCUUGUGACAUUACUCAAAACUCAGCAACAUUUUCAGAUCUCCAGAAAGAACAACAUUUGUGUAGUGCUAUAAACAGCUUGGAAUACUGGAAUAUACAAACUCAAAUGUGUUUGAAGAAUGUGAAAACAAAGAUUAAACUGAAACUCAGGUGUCUUAGAGGUAAAAAGACAGUUGGAGAGUGGAGAAAUCAGUUCAACAGAAAAUGAAGAACAAGAGAGACUUGCUGCUUACAUCACCAGGGAUGUAAUUGCAUCUGGGCUGCAUCAGAAAUAGGGCCCACAAGAGAAUGAGUAUUGUCAAGUUAUUUGCUCAUUUUUACAUUCAUUUAUCCAUCAAAAAUUAAUUGAACAAAAAUUUUCAAAAAAAUUGAGCAAAAAUAAAAAUUAAUUGAGCAUUUAAUAAGUCCCCAAAAUGGCAUGACAUGCUAGGGAAUCAGUGAUGAGAAAGACAUAGUUGCUGCUCUCAUAGAGCCUACAAUCCAGAAGGAUGAGAGGCAGCAAUUAAAUAAAAAUACAGUAAAUUACAAUUAAAACUUUGAUAAUUGAUAAAGGACAGGGUACUAUGAAAUGUAUGUGUUAGUCAAGGAAAGCUUCCUCACAAAAUGACCUUUGAAAUUAACAUUGAAAUUAACCAGUUGAUGAUGGAGGUGGAGAGUGCACCAGGCAGGCAAACAGUAUGUGCAAAGGCCCUGAGUUGGGAAUAAGACUGGCGCAUUUGAAUUAUUGAAAUAAAGUAGCAUCACACUGAGAAGAGUCUGCAAACUACCAUGAAAUAGGAGACUGGAGAUCUAGGCUGGACUUCAUAAGCCAUGAAAGGAUUUUCAUCCUUCUUCACAGAGCAAUGGGAAGUCUAUCAGUCUAUCUAUGCAGGGCUGUGAGAUGAUCAAAUCUGUCCCUUUUAAAAGACCAUUUUGACCUCUGUGCAUGAAAUGGACUGUGGUGGAAUGGAAGUGGAAUUGAGGGAUAGAUGAGUGGCACUGCAGUAGUCAAAAUGAUGGUGGACUUGUCUAGAUAGAGGUGGUAGAGAUAGAGACCCAAGAAAUAUUUAGGAAGUCAAAUCAACAGGACUUAAUGAUUAACUGGCUGUGAGGGGUGAGGAAGAGAAAUGUUGAGGAAGACUCCUCUUUUCCUGCUUUGUGUAUCUGUUGAGAAGAGAUGUGUUUCACAGAGGUAGGAACCCUUGAAAGAGGAAGGGAAUGUCAGCAGUUCAGUUUUAGAAAUGCUGAGAUUGAUGUGCUUUUGAGAUAUUUGAGUGAAGAUAUGUCAUGUGCAGAUGCUCAAGUGGGAGGUCCCUUUUAGAGAUAGAAGUUUAGGAAUCAUUAUUUAUAGAUGACAAGGCCAUUUAUACAUGACAUACCCAGGAUCAUCCAGAGAAAGGAUUUAGAUAAGAGAAGAGGGCAUAAGUCAAAGUUCUGGAACAUGCCAAUGCUUAAAGGUUUUCUAUAAAAGGAGGAGCCAGUAAAGAAGACUGAGAAGAAGUGGCCAGGGAGAGAAGAGAGCCAGAAGAAGAUAGAUUCACUGAAGGGAGGGUUUCAAGCAGGAAGAAAUGGUAAACAACAUGUAAUAUAUCUGAGAUGUCAAGGAAGAUGAGGAUUGAAAAAUGGCCAUUGGAUUUAAAGCCUUGAAGGUCAUCAGUGACCUUUGUGAGAAACAUUUUGGUGGAGAGGUUGGAAAAACCUAGUAGAUUGGAGCCUAGUGGAUAAUGAGGACAUGGAGACAGUCUGGGUAACUGACUGUUUUUGGAAGUUUAGCCAUGAAGGGGUAGUGUAUGGAGGUAUAAGUGGGACCAAGAGAGGGUUUUCCUUGGAUAUGGGAGAGAUAUACCAUGUUACAUGCCAGUGCAAAGGAUCCUACAGAGACAGAGAUGUUGGGGGCCACAGAAGAGAAAGGGAUAAUCAGUUACAUAGCUUCUGAGAAUGCACAAAAUGAUGAAAUCUGGAGACCAGAUGGAGAUGUUCACCUAUGGGGAGGGAAGUCCUCUCCUCUAUAUUUUAGGAAAAGGACAGAUGAGUUACUGGGUGGAUACAGAACUAGACACUCAAUUUGGUGGUGGGAGUGGAGGGGGUUAUUGUCUAGUGGAGUAGGAAUUAGUGGAGGUAUUAAUGACCUGGGAGUUCUGUUGAGGUCUGAGAACAAUAGUGAUAGGAGGAGCUGACGCAAGCAGAAGGCCAGGGGGUGGUUGUCAGAUAAUAAGGGCUUAAAAUUGUCCUUUUGGAGAUGAAGUAGUGUAUGUAUGUGGGAGUGGCUGACUGGUGUGGAGAGGACAGGCCAUGGUGUUAAGGGGGUUAUACAUGUGACCAUGAGAGUCAUGAAAUGAUGGCAGAUUGUGGAGUAUGGAGAAAGACUGAAAGUACAGUGCCAAAGCCUUCACUGAGAGUGAGCAUAACUAGGAGUCUGCCUGUGACAAGGAUGCAUGGAAGAUCUUGAUGUUGCUGAAUGGAACAGGAGCAGCCAGAACAAUCAGACAAGAGAAAGAAAUAAAGGACAUCCAAAUUGGUAAAGAGGAAGAAGUCAAACUGUUGCUGUUCACUGAUGACAUGAUUGUAUACCUAGGAAACCCUAAAGACUCAUCCAAGAAGCUCCUAGAUCUGAUAAAUGAAUUCAGUAAAGUUUCAGGAUACAAAAUCAAUGUACACAAAUCAUUGUGUAUAUUGUGUAUAUAGUAACACUGCUAUACACCAACAGUGACCAAGCUGAGAAUCAAAUAAAAAAUUCAAACUUGUUUAUGACACCUACAAAAAAUAAAAUACUUAGAAAUACACCUUCACAAGUAAGUGAAAGAUAUCUAUAAGAAAAACUACAAAACACUGGUGUAAGAAAUCGCAGAUGACACAAUCAAAUGGAAACACAUCCCAUUCUCAUGGAUGGGUAGAAUCAAUAUUGUGAAAAUGGCCAUCUACCAAAAGCAAUCUAUAAAUUCAAUGCAAUUCCCAUCAAAAUACCACCAUAAUUCUUCACAGAGCUAGAGAAAACAAUCCUAAUAUUCAUAUGGAACAAAAAAAAGAGCCUACAUAGCCAAAGCAAGACUAAGCAAAAAGAACAAAUCUGGAGGCAUCACAUUACCUGACUUUGAACGAUACUACAAGGCUAUAGUUACCAGAACAGCAUGGUACUGGUAUAAAAACAGACAGGUAGACCAAUGGAAGGAGAGAACACAGAAAUAAAGCCAAAUACUUACAGCCAACUGAUCUUUGAUAAAGGAAACAAAAACAUAAAGUGAGGAAAGAACACCCUAUGCAACAAAUGGUGCUGGCAUCAUUGGCAAGCCACAUGUAGAAGAAUGAAACUGGAUCCUCAUCUCUCACCUUACACAAAAAUCAACUCAAGAUGGAUCAAAGACAUAAAUCUGAGACCCAAAACCAUAUAAACCCUGGAAUAUACUUAAAAAAACUCUUCUAGACAUUAGCUUAGGCAGAGUUCAUGACCAAGAACCCAAAACAAAUACAACAAAAACAAUAAUAAAUAGAUGGGUCUGAAUUAAAUUUAAAAACUUCUGCACAGCAAAAGAAAUAAUCAGCAGAGUAAACAGACAACCCACAGAGUGGGAGAAAAUAUUCACAGACUAUGCAUCUGACAUGGGACCAGUAUCCAGAAUCAACAAAGUACUCAAACAAAUCAUCAGGAAAAAACAAUCACAUCAAAAAGUGGGCAAAGGACAUGAAUAGAAUAUUUUCAAAAGAAGAUACACAAAUUGCCAGCAAACACGUAAACGUGCUCAUCACUAUCAAGGAAAUUGAAAUCAAAACCACAAUGCGAUACCACCUUACUCCUGCAAGAAUGGUCAUAAUUAAAAAAACAAAAAAUAAUAGAUGUUGGCAUGAAUGUGGUGUAAAGGGAACAGUUUUACACUGUGGUGGGAAUGUAAACUAUUACAACCACUAUGAAAACAGUAUGGAGAUUCCUUAAAGAACUAAAAGCAGAACUACCAUUUCAUCCAGCAAUCCCACUACUGGGUAUCUACCCAGAGGAAAAGAAGUCGUUAUAUGAAAAAGACACUUGCACAAACGUGCUUAUAGCAGCACAACUCAUGAUUGCAAAACUAUGGAACCAGCCCAAAUGUCCAUCAAUUAAGGGGUGGAUAAAGAAAAUGUGAUACAUACGUGUGUGUGUGUGUGUGUGUGUACACUAUGGAAUACUACUCAGCCAUAAAAAGGAACAAAAUAAUGGCAUUCACAGCAAUCUAGAUGGAGUUGGAGACCAUUAUUCUAAGUAACUCAGGAAUGGAAAACCAAACAUUGUAUGUUCUCACUUAUCAGUGGGAGCUAAGCUAUGAGGACGCAAAGGCCUACGCAUAAUAUAAUAGAUUCUGGGGAUUCAGUGGAAGAGUGAGAGUGGGGUGAUGGAUAAAGUACUACACACUGGGUUCAGUGUACACUGCUCUGGCAACGAGUGCACCAAAAUCUCGGAAAUUACUACUAAAGAAGUUACUCAUGUAACCAAACACCACCUGGUCCCCAAAACUACUGAAAUUUUUAAAAAAAUGAAAAACCCAGCUAUUCAUUUAAUAAAAUCAAACUUUACAGAA
This is a long non-coding RNA of Pan troglodytes (chimpanzee), 4816 nucleotides long. RefSeq lists it as uncharacterized. NCBI's taxonomy places the organism in Eukaryota, Metazoa, Chordata, Mammalia, Primates, Hominidae. The transcript has 2 exons. The record is from RefSeq and is a predicted model, not a curated record.